GAGAAGAACGCAGCGAAAUGCGAUAAGUAAUGUGAAUUGCAGAAUUCAGUGAAUCAUCGAAUCUUUGAACGCACAUUGCGCCCGCCAGUAUUCUGGCGGGCAUGCCUGUUCGAGCGUCAUUUCAACCAUCAAGCCCCCGGCUUGUGUUGGGGACCUGCGGCUGCCGCAGGCCCUGAAAAGCAGUGGCGGGCUCGCUGUCACACCGAGCGUAGUAGCAUACAUCUCGCUCUGGGCGUGCUGCGGGUUCCGGCCGUUAAACCACCUUCAUAACCCAAGGUUGACCUCGGAUCAGGUAGGAAGACCCGCUGAACUUAAGCAUAUCAAUAAGCGGAGGA
This 335-nucleotide unclassified non-coding RNA is filed under the name soil metagenome. RNAcentral describes it as "partial contains 5.8S ribosomal RNA, internal transcribed spacer 2, and large subunit ribosomal RNA". The stretch from base 3 to 119 matches the Rfam family "5.8S ribosomal RNA", at positions 38 to 154 of the family's 154-position model. The record is from RNAcentral.